Gossypium raimondii (Peruvian cotton) is the source of this 45-nucleotide non-coding RNA. The record is from Rfam. NCBI's taxonomy places the organism in Eukaryota, Viridiplantae, Streptophyta, Magnoliopsida, Malvales, Malvaceae.
UAAGUGGAGUUUUUAAACUCCACAAAUAGGGUCAAGCAGUUGACA